GGGUGCAAUUCUAAUUGAAAAAAUCCAUUGGUCAUGUCUAGAAUGCGGAAGAAUUCGCUUCCCCCCAAGCUAUCCAAGAUUUCCUGUAUAUUUGGAGUGCCAUCUGCCUUUUUCUUCUUUACCAAGAGGAGUGGCGCCGCCCAUUCACUGCUGGAUGGCUCGAUGACUCCCAUGUUUAACAUCUUCCUAAUUUCCUCCUCGACCAGCGACCUCUGCAAAUACGGAACUGGAGCAUAUAUUCGAAAUCUGACACCAUUGAGUCGUCGCAGUGAAGGCACCGCACGUUCUCCUUCACCUCCGAGAUUAACACAUCCUCGAGCGGCUCCCACGGUGAGACCUCUACCAGCUGUCUAUGGCAGCCUUUGACCUUCUGCUCUGCUUGGGAGGAGUUGGAAAACAUAUCGGGAACACGGCCCGCUUCGUCCACCGAACAGAUCGUUGGCGGUGGUGGUGGGCCUUCCCCCACGUUCAGCCCCUGUACAUAGAGUACCGUCCCUGGCUUGCUACUGGUUUGCAAAAGAACUAUUGUUGUUGAUUCGGGCGCCAAUUUGCAUGAUCCGAAGGACCUGUGCGGUUGAAUUUGAACAGUUGGUCCCCUUUCUUCGUAAAGCUCUAUGCUAUCACGCGCUGCUAUUGUGACUACGUUAACCUCCUUUUUCCUAGGUCGAUACUCUUGUCCUGGAGUGGCGCCCUUUGCGAAAGCUGAUUAUAACCAAGAGGCAAUUCGCCCCAAGGAAAUUGAAGAACCUUUCUGGACGUAAUUAAGUUAGCCUGGUGUUCGCACAUGAAAUCGCUGCCGAUUAAGCUUUCAAAGUCUAUAAACACAUCUACUUGACCAACAACCUUCAUGGGUGCACCAUUAGCGGUGCCAACUUUGUGCUGAAAAGGAACGAUGGCAGCGCGUAGUUCUUGCACUAAGGCCAGAGACAUGAGGCUGACCGUGGCACCUGAGUCGACCAGGAAUGUGACAUCCUCUCCUAAGACACGUCCAACCACAACAAACCCCGGAGUAGGCGUAACAAUAUA
This is a long non-coding RNA of Cloeon dipterum, 1026 nucleotides long. RefSeq lists it as uncharacterized. The record is from RefSeq and is a predicted model, not a curated record. The transcript is spliced from 4 exons. Lineage: Eukaryota; Metazoa; Arthropoda; Insecta; Ephemeroptera; Baetidae.